UUAACCAGUGUAAUAUAUAGUGUAAUAUAUAGUGUAAUAUAUAGUGUAAUAUAUAGUGUAGUUAAUCAGUGUAAUCUAUAGUGUAGUUAACCAGUGUAAUAUAUAGUGUAGUUAAUCAGUGUAAUAUAUAUUGUAAACCAGUGUAAUAUAUAGUGUAAUAUAUAGUGUAGUUAAUCAGUGUAAUAUAUAGUGUAGUUAACCAGUGUAAUCUAUAGUGUAGUUAACCAGUGUAAUAUUUAGUGUAGUUAACCAGUGUAAUAUAUAGUGUAGUUAACCAGUGUAAUAUAUAGUGUAGUUUACCAGUGUAAUAUAUAUAGUGUAGUUAAUCAGUAUAAUAUAUAGUGCAGUUAACCAGUGUAAUAUAUAGUGUAGUUAAUCAGUGUAAUAUAUAGUGUAAUAUAUAUAGUGUAGUUAAUCAGUGUAAUAUAUAGUGUAAUAUAUAUAGUGUAGUUAAUCAGUGUAAUAUAUAGUGUAGUUAAUCAGUGUAAUCUAUAGUGUAGUUAACCAGUGUAAUAUAUAGUGUAGUUAACCAGUGUAAUAUUUAGUGUAGUUAAUCAGUGUAAUCUAUAGUGUAGUUAACCAGUGUAAUAUAUAGUGUAGUUAACCAGUGUAAUAUAUAGUGUAGUUAAUCAGUGUAAUCUAUAGUGUAGUUAACCAGUGUAAUAUAUAGUGUAAUAUAUAGCGUAGUUAAUCAGUGUAAUAUAUAGUGUAGUUAACCAGUGUAAUAUAUAGUGUAGUUAACCAGUGUAAUAUAUAGUGUAGUUAAUCAGUGUAAUCUAUAGUGUAGUUAACCAGUGUAAUAUAUAGUGUAGUUAAUCAGUGUAAUAUAUAUUGUAGUUAACCAGUGUAAUAUAUAGUGUAAUAUAUAGUGUAGUUAACCAGUGUAAUAUAUAGUGUAGUUAACCAGUGUAAUCUAUAGUGUAGUUAACCAGUGUAAUAUUUAGUGUAGUUAACCAGUGUAAUAUAUAGUGUAGUUAACCAGUGUAAUAUAUAGUGUAGUUUACCAGUGUAAUAUAUAUAGUGUAGUUAAUCAGUAUAAUAUAUAGUGCAGUUAACCAGUGUAAUAUAUAGUGUAGUUAACCAGUGUAAUAUAUAGUGUAGUUAACCAGUGUAAUAUAUAGUGUAGUUAAUCAGUGUAAUCUAUAUUGUAGUUAACCAGUGUAAUAUAUAGUGUAGUUAAUCAGUGUAAUCUAUAGUGUAGUUAACCAGUGUAAUAUAUAGUGUAAUAUAUAGCGUAGUUAAUCAGUGUAAUAUAUAGUGUAGUUAACCAGUGUAAUAUAUAGUGUAGUUAACCAGUGUAAUAUAUAGUGUAGUUAAUCAGUGUAAUCUAUAGUGUAGUUAACCAGUGUAAUAUAUAGUGUAGUUAAUCAGUGUAAUAUAUAUUGUAGUUAACCAGUGUAAUAUAUAGUGUAAUAUAUAGUGUAGUUAACCAGUGUAAUAUAUAGUGUAGUUAACCAGUGUAAUCUAUAGUGUAGUUAACCAGUGUAAUAUUUAGUGUAGUUAACCAGUGUAAUAUAUAGUGUAGUUAACCAGUGUAAUAUAUAGUGUAGCUUACCAGUGUAAUAUAUAUAGUGUAGUUAAUCAGUAUAAUAUAUAGUGCAAGUUAACCAGUGUAAUAUAUAGUGUAGUUAACCAGUGUAAUAUAUAGUGUAGUUAACCAGUGUAAUAUAUAGUGUAGUUAAUCAGUGUAAUCUAUAGUGUAGUUAACCAGUGUAAUAUAUAGUGUAGUUAAUCAGUGUAAUCUAUAGUGUAGUUAACCAGUGUAAUAUAUAGUGUAAUAUAUAGCGUAGUUAAUCAGUGUAAUAUAUAGUGUAGUUAACCAGUGUAAUAUAUAGUGUAGUUAACCAGUGUAAUAUAUAGUGUAGUUAACCAGUGUAAUCUAUAGUGUAGUUAACCAGUGUAAUAUUUAGUGUAGUUAACCAGUGUAAUAUAUAGUGUAGUUAACCAGUGUAAUAUAUAGUGUAGUUUACCAGUGUAAUAUAUAUAGUGUAGUUAAUCAGUAUAAUAUAUAGUGCAGUUAACCAGUGUAAUAUAUAGUGUAGUUAAUCAGUGUAAUAUAUAGUGUAAUAUAUAUAGUGUAGUUAAUCAGUGUAAUAUAUAGUGUAAUAUAUAUAGUGUAGUUAAUCAGUAUAAUAUAUAGUGUAGUUAACCAGUGUAAUAUAUAGUGUAGUUAACCAGUGUAAUCUAUAGUGUAGUUAACCAGUGUAAUAUUUAGUGUAGUUAACCAGUGUAAAAUAUAGUGUAGUUAACCAGUGUAAUAUAU
RNAcentral lists this long non-coding RNA (2263 nucleotides) under Salmo trutta (river trout). RNAcentral describes it as "lncRNA (ENSSTUG00000002531.1)". Lineage: Eukaryota; Metazoa; Chordata; Actinopteri; Salmoniformes; Salmonidae. The record is from RNAcentral.